AUUAGGAGAUGCAAGUAUAUAUGUGAGGCCAGGUGAUGCAUCCUUGCGAGGGUUCAAAUUGAUGGGUUACCGUACAUGGCUAGGAAGGCUGUGAAAGGCGUCCAUAUUUCAAGUUUUGUUUCACCUAAAGACAUUAUCAGGGAUUACAUCUCCAAGGUACGUGUUGAGCUUUCUUAAACUACAGUGCAAUCCCAAACUUUGUUUUUUCUUUUUCCUUUUUGGUUUUCAACAAAUAGAGCUGUUUCUGUUUGCCCUAAUUAACAAAAAAAUUCUUCGAUUAUGCAGCAUCCAGAGGAAAUAGCUGAAACAUAUGAUGAUAUAAAACUACCUGCAUAUGGACAACUAGGGUUGCGGGAUUGGGAGAGAAGAAUGAGAGCGAGGUAGUUGAGAUUCCAAAAGGCCAGCCAACUCCAUGCCUGCCGCUCCCAAAGGACCUUAAACAUGUAAAUAAAAUAGGUUUAGGUUUAGAGUACACCUACAGCUGAAAUAUUUUUGAGAUUGCCUUGGCUUAUUUAACAAACUUCUCACGUUGUUAUUUUCUUUUGUUCAUGUAGGUAAGUGCAGCUACAGCUUCCACGCUACUGGAUAUGAUUAGUGGUUUGAACACCCUUCUAUUGCAUUAGAGCAUGGAAGCAAAGGAUGAGAUCGAAAGGCUCAGGAAGGAGAAUGUAAGAUUGACCAUGUUCAAUUCAUUGCCUAUUGUUUGCAUAUACACUUAUACAGAGCCGCUUAAACUGCUUGUAUCUAAUUUGAACUGAUUUUUUUUUGUUUGAAGGAAGAGCUCCGUGCAAGUGCAAAGCUACUUUUGGGAAGGUGAUAUUGUGAAGGAGGAUAACUAGCUAGGAUGAUUUUUGGGUUGAGUCCUUUGGGUUUGAUACAACGAGAAAGAUUGAAUAUUCGACCAUCAAAUUUCCGGAAAUGAAAAAGAUUUUUCUCUUGUAACUUUAAUGUUGUCUUAGAUAACAUGAGUUUGUAAGAAAUUCAACAUAAUGUAAAAUGAAGAGUGUAGAUUUCAGUCCCGAAUAUUGAAUGCCGGUUUAGAAAGAGAAUUUGAGAGAAUACAAAAAUAGAGGCAAUUAUUUUUUUCUUCUGGCUGGAUUUUUUUCUUCGUGUCGGUGUAUCAUUUUAUUUCAAUAUUAUGUCUGACCUCCACUUCACUAAUAUUACUACUUGGAGUGAGCUAGCUACCACUAUUUCUCAGCACUUAUUUCUUGUCCAACUAGCUAGCUAGCUUUUAGUUCUUUCCAGCCAAAAUUCUAAUGGAUUCGCAAAGAGUUCCCUUGCUGAGCAUCAAGGCCGAGCCGGAGCUCGACUAUGCUCCAUUGAAGACCUUCGGGGAGGGCAUGUCUGUUUGUUGGAAGGAGUCUGUGAAGCUGUGGAAAGUUGCAGCUCCGGUGGCUUUCACGACUCUCUUUCAGUACCUCAUCCAGUCCAUCACCACCAUCUUCAUCGGACAUCUCAGAGAUCUUGAGCUCUCUGCUAUUUCUCUCGCUCAUAAUGUCAUCCACGCUAUCGCCUUUGGCUUCCUGGUUAGUUUGCAUCUCUAUGGGAUGGGAUCAAAUCCUAUCAAUCAUUGACUCGUAUUGCUUUGUUUGUAUACGCAUUAUGUGUACUUAUUUAUCUAUGCAUUAUUGUUUGCAUGUGGAGUAUAGAUUCUCUCACGAAUUGAUAAGAAGAUAUUUUGAAAUAAUACCUCGUUAGGUUUACUGUCAUUUUCUAGAGUAAAAGUACGUAAAUUACAUUUCACUCACAGAAAAUUACGGUGGUUUACAUGACUGAAAAUACUAUGACGAUCGACUUGCUGCUGUGUAGAGUUAUUUUUUUUUUCUGUUCGAAUAACAUGUACAACCUUCAGUGACGGUAUAAGACUAACGUACGUACGUUCUUGAUCUUCUUUGAAACGGAAGGUACAAAUUCUAUCUUGAUUAUCUUGUAACAGUCGGUUCCUAAGUUUCUCAAGCUCCAUUUCUGAUUUUGGAACACCGAAAGUGCUCACUAGGAAGUCACUAGAGGUCACAGAACAUCAAUUUUGAUAGGGAAAGGCUUAGUAACAAUGCAAAUCGAACUUGCAUAAACUGUAAGGAUUUGACAUAAAUGGGAGAAAGGGGCAAAAUAAUUUACUCCAUUACUAGAUGUCUAGAUUCAGAGAUAUGAAAUAUGUCUUGGACACACGCAUGUUUAUGGUAUCUUUCUUCAUGCGAGAGAGAGAGAGAGAGAGAGAGAGAGAGAGAGAGAGAGAGAGAGAGAGAGAGAGAGAGAGUAGUAGUUACGUUAGUACGUAGUACGUACGUACGUACGUACGUAGUAGUAGUAGUAACGUAACGUUAAACGUUUAAACGUUUAAACGUUUAACGUUUAACGUUUACGUUUACGUUUACGUUACGUUACGUACGUACGUACGUACGUACGUAACGUAACGUAACGUAACCGUAACGGUAACGUAACGUACGUACGUACGUACGUAACGUUACGUAACCGUUAACGUUAACGGUUAAGUUAACGUUAACGGUAAAGUAACGGUUAACGUAACGUAACGUUACGGUAACGUAACGUAACGUAACGUAACGUAACGUACGUAACGAACGUAACGUUAACGUUAACGGUACGUUAACGGAACGUAACGAACGUAACGUAACGUUACGGUAACGGACGUAACGUACGUACGUAACGUAGUAGUACACGUANAGUACGUACGUUACGUAACGUUAACGUUACGUACGUAACGUACGUACGUUAACGGGUUACUACCGUUAACCCGUAACGUUUACGGUACGUUUUACGGGUAACGUACGGGUAACGUAACGUAACGUUAAACGGUUAACGGUAAACGGUUUACGGGGUAACGUUAACGUUAACCCGGGUUAACGUAGUUUUUACGUUAACGGGGGAAAAACGUUUUUCCCCCGUAAAAACGUAAACGGUUUUACGAAACGGGGGUUUUUACGUAAGUAGUUGGGUAUAANANAGAUNUAAUGAGUANANANAGAUNANGUNAUGAGAGAGAGAGAGAGAGUGAGUGAAGUCUUUUCAUGGCGUGCUAAUAGCAUGAGGCAUAAAAAUUAAACUUCAUUUGAUGGUUUUGACCUGCACAUUGUGAACGCAGAAAGGUAUGGCAAAUGCACUUGGAACGCUUUGUGGACAAGCUUAUGGUGCAGGCCAAAUCGACUCACUUGGUAUCUAUAUGCAGUGCUCAUGCAUCAUCCUAACCAUUACUUGUUUUCUCCUCUUAUCACUUUUCAUUUUUGCCACUCCAUUCCUCAAGAUUUUAGGCCAACAAGAAAGUAUAGCCGAGUUUGCUGGAAACUGCAAUCUGUUGAUAAUCCCUCAGAUGUUCUCCUUUGCCAUCAAUUUGCCCACCCAAAAGUUCCUUCAAGCUCAGAGCAAGGUUGGCGUCAUUACAUGGAUCUCCUUUGUGGCUCUAGUCACACACACAUGACUCCUUUAUCUUUUCAUUAGCGUACUCGGCUGGGGGGUGAAUGGUGCAGCUGUAGCUUAUAACAUCACAUACUGGGAAGUUGCAGUUGGUCAGUUUGUGUAUGUUGUAUUUUUGUGCAAGGAAGGUUGGAAUGGAUUUUCAUGGUUAGCAUUCAAAGACAUCUGGAAUUUCGCUAAGCUGUCUCUUGCCUCAUGUAUGAUGUUUUGCCUAGAGAUGUGGUAUACUAUGAGUAUGAACAUUCUCGCCGGUCAACUUGAGAAUGCAGUGAUUGCCCUCGGUUCCUUCUCAAUAUGGUAAGUGCAUCACUAUUAAUUUUGUCCCUUGUUCGUAUUCUUUGUGUUAUAAUUUGUGAUAACGAGUCAAAAGUUCUUUCUGUUUUUCUUUUUUGAUUAGCUUGAACUUUCAAAGUUGGGAAACCAUGAUUUUGGUUGGAGUGAAUACUGCUAUAAGGUAAAUGUUUCUAUGUUUCUGUACUAAACUAUGAACCAAUUUUCUAAAAAUUAGCCGCCUAGCGCCUUGUAGACCUUGGAGAGAAACCACAAAUCGGCACUCCUAGGUGGAAGAGCCUCUAAGCGGGUCUAGGAGGUAUGAACUGUUUCCAUUUUUCUGGACUUUCUAUGAUAUCUUAUCAUCACAUUGGUAAUUCUCCAGCAUUCGAGUCUCAAAUGAACUUGGAAUGGGGCACCCAAGAGCGGCCAAAUACUCCAUAUGUGUUGCAGUCUUGCUAUCUCUCGUCGUUGGUCUUGUGUCUAUGACUUCUAUCUUCUUAAGUAGAGACUACAUUGCCAGUGUUUUCACAGACAGCAAAGUAAUGCAACGAGCUGUUGCUCAUUUAGCAUACUUUCUCGACGCAACCAUGCUUCUUAAUAGUGUUGCAGAAGUUUUGACAGGUUAACUUUUAGUGCAGCUAGCUUCUNNNNNNNNNNNNNNNNNNNNUUCCAGAACCAACUGGGACACUGAGGUCAGUAGAUCAAGCAGAAUACCAUUUACAGAUAACAAAAGUCUUCCUUUUGGAUAUUGUUGUUCAGCUCAUAGUUGAUUUCUAUAUAUUUCAGGUGGAGCAAACGACAAAGCCCAUAAAGAAAUGGGGGAGCAAAGAAAUAAGAACUGAGAAGAAGAUGGAUUGCUGAUACCAAUAUAUGAAGUUUCCUACAAAAACAUUAACAUGAAAAGCUAACAUUGUUGCAGCAUAGAUUUAAGGAGAAACUCAGGUGUAAGUUCCCAAUUUUAUUUCUAGAACAGUAUAGGCUCAUGUGCCAACAUGCUCCCUCAAUCAUUUCUGUGUUCAAAUAAAGAAGGGGAAGCUGAGCAGCUAUCAUGGCAGCCAGUUCACAUAGUUGAUUAAGUUAAGUGAUAGAGGGUUAGGCUAGCUAUUUAGUCGUUGGUGUGGUAGCUAAUUAGAAUGGUAUGAAAGGGGAGAAUGUACAUUGUAUGAAUACGAUUGAUGUCCUUGAUUUCAAUCAAUGAGUAUCACAAAGAAGUUUGAGGCUUCCAUUCCAUAAGUGGGAGGUGAAGAGUUGAAGAUUUCUUUAUUGUUCUACUGUUUACUGCAUAGCAAUGAGAAAAUGUUCUGGUAAAUGUCUGAACUUGUCACUCUAGCGGAAGAUGUCGACUAUACUUCUUUGACAGGGAGACAUACAUUACUUUAUGGGAUCUGUUACUUUGAGAUCUCUGUUUGUAACCAUAUGUAGCUACCUCAAGUCAUAACCUUGUAAUACUAAUACUGAUUUCAGUACACAAAUCAUAUAACAGAAAAGUCCUUACUGGUCGUUUGAGCUACUAUUGGCAUGGCUUCUGAUUUGUGAAGGCCUCAGCUGAUCUCUCUGCCGGUUAGAUUCUCUGCUACCAAAAUACAAGUGUAAAGACAAACAAUACACUCGCUCAAUCUAUAAUCCAACCCAUCUGAAGCAAAUUUAAUUUAUGAUGCUUAUACUUCUAAUGUUCCCCUAUACACUUUCUACUUUCACUGAUACAGUACUAAAACUUCAGUUUCUGCUUAAUUUAGUGAUCUUCAAUUUCUGCAUUUGCAAUGUAGUUAGGCAUUUUGGGGUGGCAUAACAAGUGGAAGAGCGCUCUUCAAUUCUCAUUCCUAUUGAUCAUAACGGAAAAUCAAAGAGGCAAUCAGGUAGAAUCAUCAGUUUCGGAACCCUUAAUAUCAUGAACUAACUUCUUAAACAUUUGUACUGCUUGCGUGAUAUGCAUGUAAAAUCUUGUACACCUACAAAUGAGUUAAGCCAUAUGUAAAUUCCACAGUAAAUGUGUGUAUGCAUUUUGUUGCAGUUGAUGAUGGAAAUUCUAUUAUAGGUAGCUUACUGAGAAAUGUAUAUGAUAAAAGGGCCUAAAAAGCUCCCUCAAGCUGCAUCAAAUUUAUGGAACAGAAAGAUUAAGGUAAAUAACUAAAUAUCUAAAUAUCCAAAUUCUUUCUAUAGGGACCAUACAUGAAACUACGAGUAUGAAUGUUCACCAAACAGUUAUUCGUUAUCCUCUGCCUAGCUGUGGCAUUAAAUCUCACAACUAAUAUGUAAUGAUUUCAUCGAACUAGAAUCUCUUAUCACAAGUUGCAUAAUUCAAAUAACAAAUAUGUCGUCUGAUUGCAUAAUAUGAUACCAAAAUAACUGUUGUCGUCCUAUAACUUUAUGGCCAUAGUGAUCUGAUAAAUGAUUGGGACUGAAGUCGGUCAGAUGUUACAAUUUCAAGAACAAGUUGACCACAUUCAUGCCGGAAAAAUAAGACUCAAGGCACCAUUUUCUAAGGUUGAGAUUCUUGGAUGAGAUUCAGAUAUUUUUUGUUACGUUGUCGACAUGAUGACUAACCAACCCACACAUGACACAUGCACGUCGUAUAUUCAUGAUAGUCAUUCCAAAUCAUAUAUGUUUGAAGCAACAGAAACCAACAACGAGAAUCCCUACCUCACUUUACUACUACUUUCUAGGAGUGAGCUUUCACUAUUUGUCGGCACACAUUUCUAGUCCAGUUAGCUAGCUUUUCUUCCUUUUCAGCCAAACUUCAAAUGGAUGAUACGCAACGUUCUCCCUUGCUGAGCAUCAAGGCUUCACUGGAACCCGACUAUGCUCCGGUGAAGACCUUUCAGGAGGGCAUGUCUGUAUGUUGGAAGGAGUCUGUGAAGCUGUGGAAAGUUGCAGCUCCGGUGGCUUUCGCGGCUCUCUUUCAGUACCUCAUCCAGUCCAUCACCACCAUUUUCAUCGGACAUCUCGGAGAUCUUGAGCUCUCUGCUAUUUCCCUCGCUCAUAAUGUCAUCAACGCCAUCGCUGUUGGCUUCCUGGUUAGUUUGCAUGUCUAUGGGAUCAAAUCCUAUCAAUCAUUG
Molecule: long non-coding RNA, 6761 nt
Filed under: Fragaria vesca (wild strawberry)
Lineage: Eukaryota; Viridiplantae; Streptophyta; Magnoliopsida; Rosales; Rosaceae
Description: long non-coding RNA (FVES_LNC003923)
Source: RNAcentral